AGAAUCAACGCUGGCGACGUGCCUAACACAUGCAAGUCGAACGAGAAAGUGGAGCAAUCCAUGAGUAAAGUGGCGACCGGGUGAGUAACACGUGACCAAUCUACCCUUGAGUGGGGGAUAACCUCGGGAAACCGGGCUAAUACCGCAUAAUAUCUUCGGAACGGAAGUACUGAAGAUCAAAGGAGCAAUUCGCUUAAGGAGGAGGUCGCGGCUGAUUAGCUAGUGGCGGGUAAUGGCCCACCAAGGCAAAGAUCGGUA
RNAcentral lists this ribosomal RNA (258 nucleotides) under uncultured bacterium. Its description in RNAcentral is "partial small subunit ribosomal RNA". It matches the Rfam family "Bacterial small subunit ribosomal RNA", at positions 26 to 285 of the family's 1533-position model. The record is from RNAcentral.